AACGAACGCUGGCGGCAUGCCUAACACAUGCAAGUCGAACGAGAGCUUCGGGUGUAGUGGCGCAUGGGUGCGUAACGCGUGGGAAGCUGCCCUUAGGGUCGGAAUAACUCCCCGAAAGGGGUGAUAAUAGCGGAUAAUGUCUUCGGACCGAAGAUUUAUCGCCUUUGGAUGGGCCGGCGUUGGAUUAGCUAGUUGGUAGGGUAAAAGACUACCAAGGGGACGAUCCAUAGCUGGUCUGAGAGGAUGGUCAGCAACACUGGGACUGAGACACGGCCCAGACUCCUACGCGAGGCAGCAGUGGGGAAUAUUGGACAAUGGGCGAAAGCCUGAUCCAGCAAUGCCGCGUGAGUGAUGAAGGCCUUAGGGUUGUAAAGCUCUUGUACCCGGGAUGAUAAUGACAGUACCGGGACAAUAAGCUCCGGCUAACUCCGUG
This 433-nucleotide ribosomal RNA is filed under the name uncultured bacterium. Its description in RNAcentral is "partial 16S ribosomal RNA". It matches the Rfam family "Bacterial small subunit ribosomal RNA", at positions 29 to 507 of the family's 1533-position model. The record is from RNAcentral.